Molecule: ribosomal RNA, 505 nt
Filed under: uncultured bacterium
Lineage: Bacteria
Description: partial 16S ribosomal RNA
Rfam family: Bacterial small subunit ribosomal RNA
Source: RNAcentral
GACGAACGCUGGCGGCGUGCCUAAUAUAUGCAAGUAGAACGCACAGUUUAUACCGUAGCUUGCUACACCAUAGACUGUGAGUUGCGAACGGGUGAGUAACGCGUAGGUAACCUGCCUGGUAGCGGGGGAUAACUAUUGGAAACGAUAGCUAAUACCGCAUAAUAUUGAUUAUUGCAUGAUAAUUGAUUGAAAGAUGCUGUUGCAUCACUACCAGAUGGACCUGCGUUGUAUUAGCUAGUAGGUGAGGUAACGGCUCACCUAGGCGACGAUACAUAGCCGACCUGAGAGGGUGAUCGGCCACACUGGGACUGAGACACGGCCCAGACUCCUACGGGAGGCAGCAGUGGGGAAUCUUCGGCAAUGGACGAAAGUCUGACCGAGCAACGCCGCGUGAGUGAAGAAGGUUUUCGGAUCGUAAAGCUCUGUUGUAAGAGAAGAACGGGUGUGAGAGUGGAAAGUUCACACUGUGACGGUAUCUUACCAGAAAGGGACGGCUAACUACGUG